Molecule: long non-coding RNA, 2563 nt
Organism: Acanthochromis polyacanthus (spiny chromis)
Lineage: Eukaryota; Metazoa; Chordata; Actinopteri; Pomacentridae
Exons: 2
Source: RefSeq, a predicted model, not a curated record
GUGCGCGUUUUUAAGACAUUUACAUUCUGACAAGGGGUGAGGGGUGGGAGGGGGCGCGUAAAUGCGUGCGUGAGUGCGCGCAGCAGCAGCAGCAGCAGCAGCAAAUCAUGAAUUAAUAAAAAGCCCAAUUCUGCACACUUUCAUCGCUCCGUUUUAAAUAUAUCCGUGCACUUUAAAAAAAAAAAUUCUUCUUUCCACAGCGUCCUUAUUUUAUUUUUAAAGAAAGGGGGGAGAUGCUGUCGUGCACGCGCAUGAGAGACAGAGAGAGCAAGAGAGAGGGAAGUAAGAGAGGGAGGAAGGGGAGAGGCGGGAGCCGGUUCUCAAACGCCGCACGCUCGAAAUUCCUCCAAGGAACCUCUGCGAGCUUUUCUUUUUUCAUCACGCGCGGCGGCUAAAAAUAGAAACGGGGUUGGAUCGUGAUCCAGAAAUAGAUAGGGGGCAUCACUCCUAUAAAAGGCACACCAUUCAAGAGUACAGUGAAGAAAAGCGGCAAGCCGGAGCAGAAUUUAUACGAGAAAGAGCCUUUUUUUCCUGCCACUUUGCGUGUUUUUUGCUUUUUUUGUUUUUUUAAAGAAAAGGAGGCUCCGCUGCCACAAACGGUUUCUACGUCACAAACUGGGAGACGCAGCAGUGACAGAGACACAGCGAGGUCAGCGGUGGAAGUCACUGAGUGAGUGGACAAGUCUGUAAAAAGGAAAGUAAAUGUGGCUUUACGUCAUAUUUAAUAACAACAGCUGCUGAUGUGUACGUUCAGUGUGGACAAACUCACAUCUCAUGUUUCAUCCUGAGAUUUGUUGUAUUUAAACUCUUCUUUCCUUCAUCUUUCUUCCUCUUUCUUAUUGUUCUCAGUCACAGCACUUUAUUAGAAUUCCAAAACAAGCUGAAUUCAUUUUAUUUACUCUUUUUUCCAAGCUGUUUAUGAGCCCAAAUCACCACCGCUGACUCACGUUCAGCACUGAAACAAUAAAAAGUGUCACAACACGACGUCACAUCAAACAUUCGGAGCAGACUUGUGAACAUCAGCUGCUAACUUCCACACAUCUGUCCUCAGAUUGUUGCACAGAAUCAGAGAUUCUUUGCAAAACCCGUGGUGAUAAAUCAUGGCUUCUUUUGAAAUGUGAUCGACUGAAACCGGCUUUUGUCUUAAACAUUUUGUUGUUACUGAGGUCUGGAACCCUCCUUCAGCUCUGGUCCAGCAACUCUAAGAUGUUUAAAACCUCCUUUUUCCUGUAAUUCCCAACUUUUUAGUCAGUUUAUCUUAAAGGAGACGUAAAAUCUAGUUUCUGUGGUUCCCUGCUUUGUGAUUUGUGCAAAUGGUGACAAAAACAUAGUAAAGAGACAGAAAUAGUGAAAAGAUAAACUGAAAAACAGUCAGAUUUAAAACGUCUUAAAGGAAAAUGCAUGUAGAGUUUAGAUUCACAGAGCAAAGAUGCUGCGUGUCAUUGCCGUCAUGUUCGUCCUUUGAUUGCAAAUCAACACAUGAUUUGUUUGGACAAAGACGAAGAAAUUACACAGAAAUAAUGCUUCUAAAUAUGCUGAGGCAUCUCUCUAACAAUAGUUUCACUGUUUAGUUGUGGCACUGACUCGUUUAAAUCUUUAUUUUAAGACACAGAGAGCAAGUUUUGCAGCUGCAGUCAGUGUGCAUUAGUGUGAGUUUUGCAGACGUGUGUGCAAUCAUUUGUUUUUAUCAUUUACAUGCUGCAGUGUAAAUGUGCAGCAUGUGUCAUGAGUGUGUGUUUAUUUGCUGAGAUCUUAAAGUGUCACCAAACAGCAGAAAGCCCCAGGUUCAGCUCCUGCGUUUGCAUCAGAGAGAAACGUUUUACGCAAAAUAAUCAAGCACUAGAAAAACACACAUUAAACGUUUCUUCUCCAGGAAAAAGAGUGAAACUAUCCAGAUGAUCAGUGAUCUCUGGAGUGAACCUGAAGGUUGAAUGAAUGAAUGAAUCUUGACCUGGAGUAAAUCAGACACACGUCGACUUCUAAACUCUUCGAAAAGCAGAAUUAUUAAAAUAUAAAACUCCCCUGAAUGACUCAUUUAGCUCAACUUUCAUUUUGCUGUUGGAUUUGUUUUUUUUUUUCUCUCAGCUGUGUGCACGGAGUCAGUCUGCGUCUUUAUUGUCGUGAGAUGCUGAUGUGUGUAUGUGUCCCUGUGUUGCAUUUCCUUUUAUAUUUUUAUUUCUUUUUUUUUUCCAUUUCUGCUCUCUGAUCUGUCAAUUUCUUACAAUUAUUUUCACUUAAUUUCACAUUUUGUCUCACUUUUGCCUUGUUUUGCGUCUCAGAUUUGUUAAAUGUCUCAUAAAAUCUCAGUCUUUAUCCUAACUUCACCUCAUUUCCUCAGAUUAUGAGUGAAUAUCUGGUUUGUUUUUUGCUGUUUUCCUUCUGAAGGUGCUGCGUGUUUUAAUAUUAAUGAUGCUUUUGCUCUGAUCUAAUAAAAGCCCUGUGAAAUCUUAUAUCGUGUGUCCUCCUUGUGUGUAAUUUUUAAAGAACUGCUUGUCAGCUCUGUGAUGGUUUUGCUGUAAAAUAGCUCAUGGAAAUAAAUAUGAAUAAAAGCCUGCAAAGAUGA